AAAGUACUCCCUCCGGCCGGAAAUACUUGUCAUCAAAAUGGAUAAAAAAGGUUGUAUUUAGACGUAUUUUAGUUCUAGACGCAUCUCUUUCUAUCCAUUUUGAUGACAAGUAUUUCCGGACGAAGGGAGUAAUAC
Triticum aestivum (bread wheat) is the source of this 135-nucleotide non-coding RNA. Lineage: Eukaryota; Viridiplantae; Streptophyta; Magnoliopsida; Poales; Poaceae. The record is from Rfam.